This 60-nucleotide transfer RNA is filed under the name Helicella itala. RNAcentral describes it as "tRNA-His". Lineage: Eukaryota; Metazoa; Mollusca; Gastropoda; Stylommatophora; Geomitridae. The record is from RNAcentral.
UUAACUAUAAGAUAUUGUAGUCUGUUGGUUUGUGGAGCCAAAUGUCCCUGUGUGGUUAGC